ACGGGUGAGUAACGCGUGGUCAACCUACCGUUGAGUGGGGGAUAACUAGCCGAAAGGUUAGCUAAUACCGCACACGUCUCCGAGGGGCAUCCCUUGGCGAUAAAAGGAGCAAUCCGCUCGAUGACGGGACCGCGUCCCAUUAGCUAGAUGGUGGGGUAACGGCCUACCAUGGCACCGAUGGGUAGCUGGUUUGAGAGAGCGACCAGCCACACUGGGACUGAGAAACGGCCCAG
Molecule: ribosomal RNA, 233 nt
Filed under: uncultured bacterium
Lineage: Bacteria
Description: partial 16S ribosomal RNA
Rfam family: Bacterial small subunit ribosomal RNA
Source: RNAcentral